GGCUGCAGUCCCCCCUUUUUUCUUGCAUUUUUUUUUUUCAAUUUUUUGAAGUGAACUAUUUUUGGAGUGCUAUUGUGCAAUUGCCACAGCAAUGUAUUUGGGUUGUGGAUUUGGAGCAACUUUGCACUCUCCAGGCAUUCUUUUGGCCGUUUCAGGAUCCACCCCUGUAACCAUUGAAUCCCUUGAAUGGUGCAGUGUAUAUUACGGUGAUGAAAGAUAUGUUUAUUCUCAAAAUUUGUCUGUUUGCAUCAGAUUAACUUACCACAUCUUCACCCCCUCUCCAACCUUUUUUGUUUUUUCCCUUUACGAUAAGUUUUUGGUACCCUAAUUGAUAUAACCUUGAAUGGUGAGCAUGAAGUGUCUAUAAUUAUUACCAAAAACACAAUUACCACUGCUGACUUAAUUAACUCCAACCGCUGCGCAUUAAUUCUCUUUUUUAUUGACUGGUAAUUGAUAAUUACGCUGUUGACAAUAGACCAUUCCCCUUAGUAGGUACUGGGGAACUUCUACAGGCAAUGACAUAACUUGUGCUCUCUUUGGUGAAUAAUACCCAGUUAAGGAACAAAAAUCAACAAGAUUCAUUCUCAGUUCCUGGAAUUUUUUAUACCCAUCAUUGUUCAUUAAAAAAAUGCCUGCCUGGAAGGCAACAAAUAUCUUUUAGGGAACAACAAAUGCAGCUCUUUAUUAUUACAUAUAUUUUAGUACAUCUCAUAUAUCUUAAUCUGUUACAUUACAAAUGAGGGGUUGAUGUCGCUUUACAACUACGGCACAAAGAUUCUUUUUAAUUUCUUCUCUGACCUCUCCAAAAUGGUGCAUCCAAAAAUUAGUCACAACAAACGUUUCUCAUCCCAAAUUCCCUUUAUCACACAUUUCAGACCCAGUACGCUUACUAUAAGUAUCCCACUCCUCCACCUCCCCCCACCCCCUCCACCACAGGGUGGGCAAUUUUCAUUAUGGUACAGAAGUAUAUAAAAUGCUCACCCUCACAGUAAUUCAGGUCAUUUAAAAUAAGACUGGGUAUUCAAUAUGGUAGACUCUAAUAAUUAACCAAAAUUUUUGNCCCAAGAGAAGGUGGU
Molecule: long non-coding RNA, 1076 nt
Organism: Orbicella faveolata
Lineage: Eukaryota; Metazoa; Cnidaria; Anthozoa; Scleractinia; Merulinidae
Source: RefSeq, a predicted model, not a curated record